RNAcentral lists this ribosomal RNA (497 nucleotides) under uncultured bacterium. RNAcentral describes it as "partial 16S ribosomal RNA". It matches the Rfam family "Bacterial small subunit ribosomal RNA", at positions 28 to 507 of the family's 1533-position model. The record is from RNAcentral.
GACGAACGCUGGCGGCGUGCCUAAUACAUGCAAGUCGAGCGCACAGGCUUGGUACUUGUACCUCCUGGAUUAGCGGCGAACGGGUGAGUAACGCGUGGGUAACCUGCCUUUGAGCGUGGGACAACAUCUGGAAACGAAUGCUAAUACCGCAUAAUAACUUUAAACACAAGUUUCAAGAUUGAAAGAUGCAUUUGCAUCACUCAAAGAUUAUCCCGCGUUGGAUUAGCUAGUUGGUUAGGUAAAGGCCCACCAAGGCGAUGAUACAUAACCCACCCGGGAGGGGGGAUGGCCAAAAUGGGAACGGGACACGGGCCAAACCCCUACGGGGAGCAGCAGUAGGGGAACUUCGGGAAAGGAGCGAAGGCUGACCGGAGCAAGGCGGGUGGGGUGAGGAAGUUCUCCGGAUGGAAAAACCCUGUUGUAGGGAAGGAACAUGGGUGGAGGGGAAUGCGCAUCAAGUGACGGUAACUACCCAGAAAGCGACGGCUAACUACGUG